Long non-coding RNA from Crotalus tigris (Tiger rattlesnake), 4243 nucleotides. RefSeq lists it as uncharacterized. Lineage: Eukaryota; Metazoa; Chordata; Lepidosauria; Squamata; Viperidae. The transcript is spliced from 6 exons. The record is from RefSeq and is a predicted model, not a curated record.
UCUUCCAAAAAUAAACCAAAACUGGGCAUGACUAUAUUUGUUAAUUUACUCUCAUUUUUCCUGUCAUGGAAAAUCUACCAUCCAUCCUUUCUGAUAUAUUCUUUGAAGAGUCCAAUAAGUAUAAAAUACUUUGAUAGAUUAACUUCAAUUUCUUUUUUUUUAUACAAGUUUUAUUAAUUUUUCAAAUGUUUACAUCCAAGUACUUAGGAAGCAGCGUGGUGAUAGGGUAGUCAAUAAUCCAAUAACAAAACCAUUCAUGUAUAUCUCAGGUUGCAUUAAUAAAAGUUCCCUCUCUAUUUCCCACAAAUAUUAUAUCAUAUUCAUAUUUAUAGAUUUCUAGCUGAAGCUCAAUCAAUCAAUACAUUUGUGAAUAACAUUUUGGUUAUACAUAUCCAUGUCCUGUUUUUAGGUUUUAUUUAAUUCCAAUUAACAUAUUCCAAUUUAGCCUUUUAUCACCAAUGUUUAAACUUCGGAUAACCUUAAUUUCUCUCAUUUCAUUAUAAGAUAAUUAACGUAACUAAAAUACACAUAUUAUUCCAAAAUUUACCUACUUCUUUAUUUACAGAUAUAUUCUGUUUCUCAUCCUGGUAACUCCUCAUUUAAUAACAAAAUAUCUUUCAUUGUUACAAAUCUAUUUCCAUAUAACAAUUAAAGUUAUAAUCUAACAGUUAGUUUUAAUUCCCAUUAUAAAUCUAAAUCUAAAUCCUAAAUAUUAAAGCACUCAUUGUCUCUAAAAAGGUGCUUAACCCAUUAGGUGGAUUUCUAAAUCACAUUUUUAAAUUUAACUUUGGCUUUCUUUUUGUGCCAGGCCAUGCCAGUGCCUCUAAAACCUCGGAUGUGUCUCUCAUCAUUCCCACACCUGUUGUUUGAAUCAAGGGAGAACAUCUAGUUACCAGUCUUUCAAAAGAACUGACCUCUUUGUAGUUAUUAGGCUGUUGCCCAAUAAUUCAAAUCUCCAUGUUUGGUUUGAAAUGUUUAUCAUCGGUUCAGUCUGGUCCUCUUCUUCUUCUUGCAGUUCCAUCUGAGUAAAAUAAAAGGUCAUAUCUGGUGUUGUAAUUGUUGUUUGGUUGUCUAAAUUGUCUAAGUUCUCAAUGUAGCAUGUUUGUUGAUCAAUUCCUGUUGCUUUUGGAGUUACAGGUACUAUAAUUAAAGUCAGUGGUUGAAUAUCAGGGUUCUCAGUAGAUUGUACAUGUUGUAUAAAAUCCUCUUUGAUGUUAAAUUGUUCCUCUUCUGUUAUUUUUUGGCUUGUAGGUUGAUCGGUUUGAGUCUGGGGUUCAAUUUAUAGUUUUGUGAAAAUAUCAUUGGCUUUCACUCCUGAAUUCAUUAACUCAGUAGCUUCAAGGAUUUUUUCAAGGUAAGUUUAUAAUCAAGUUGUGGAUAGGGUUCCUCCAUUUCUAUGGUGAUUAGAGAUAGUCCUUUAGUGGAGGCUAUUUUUAGUGAGAGUCAGCCAUUGUCUACCUCCACACUUUGUAAAAAUAAUUGUCACCACCCAGCUGUUUCCACUUCUUAUCUUUUUUGAUAAUAUGAAGGGCAAAUCAAGGGAGCCAAUAGGCACAAUUUAAAAAAAAAUUCAGUUGCUAUGCCAGGUUUCACCACAAGAUGUCCCCAGCAGAUCACAAAAUCUUUUCCCAAAAGCCGAAUAGCCAUUUAUUAUUUUAAAAAAAAAACAAAUAUUUUCCAAAGUUAAUAAUUAAGAAAGAUGUUAAGUCUCUAUAAUAGGAAGUUAUCCACAAAGCAAAGAUCCAGUUAUUUAGUUGUUAAGGUUAGUUGUUCUUUUCUUGUCUUUUGUUUCCAAGAUUUAAGUUCCCAAGUAUGCAAACGCUGCUGUAUUGAGAGUGAGGAAGAAAAUUUCAAGGAGCUUUCACAGGAAGGUGAUUAGGGAAAGAAAAAGUAUCUCAGAUUCCACAAGGUUGAAGUGUACAGGGAGUUCUUCAGUUUUAUUGUUGAUGAUGAAUAUCCUUAAAUAUGUCCCUGUUGGCCAAGGAAUUUCAGUUGACAAGGUCCAGGAGAAGAGCGUUCUCUGUCGCAACAUCUGCUGUCUGGAACACUAUAACCCCAAAGGUGGAAAGGCUGAACACUACCCAAAAUGGAAGAAUAUUGAUGAAGAUGAAAGAACUUGCAAAGAUGGCUAAAUUAACUUUUUUUAAUUAGAGAAAAGUAUGUACAAAAAUAUUGCUGGCAGGGAAAACAUGGUGAAAAAAGGAAGAUUUGAAUUUGAAGAGCAACGUACCGUGGUCUUGGCACCUCAGUGGCUAAGAAGAGGAACUUAGACAUGCUACUGGAACAUAACUCUGCUGAGGCAAUCUUCUCCUUGAUGGGGAAAAAAAGUCUCAAGUCCAAGGCAUUCAUUAAGUAGUCAGGCAGAGUCCCCACAGAAAAGGUCUUUCUCUGCAUCACCUCUAGCUGACAAGCAGCAAGCUGUGGCAUGGAGAUCAGAAGUAUCCUGGGACUGCAGCUGUCUAGGCAAAUUUUAUAGAUGUAGCUGUAGUCAUUGGCAAACAGGUUUUGAAUUUGUCAUAGCUUUAUGUAGUAAUUGCAGCACAUUAAAUAUAGUUGAGUGGACAUUUUUUUUCCUUUCAGGUUCAGCUCACCUCCCAGUGAUUACAUGGGUAUAUCUGUGCAAUCUUGUUGUCUAACAAUGUGGAAGAGAUCUACCAUUGCCUUCUUUCUGAAUGUUUUCUUCUCCAGUCUGGUCUACAUUGCUGGAAUUUCCUAAUGAUCUCCUGUCCAAUAUGGCCAAGGAAGACUACUGUUGUGACAGCAACCUAGCAACCAUAAAUAUUAUACAUGCACAUUAUGACAUUAUAGGCAGUAUCUUAGGCCCAAACCAGACCCAAGAACAGCCUUAUAUAGAGCACAUUGUGUGAGUCCAUCCUGAGGUUAGCAAUGUAUGAUUCACUGUGGCCAACUUGUCUUGUCUAGAAUGAGCACAAUUGAAGAAUUAGCCUCAAAUGGUGCGAAGUGUUUCUAAGCUACAUAUGUCAUCUGUACCAGCUUUGCAAAAAGUUCUUUUGGCUGCAUGUGGGCCAAAAAGAGCUUGGAGGGAGUUCCAUACUUUCCCCAUUCCCAUGGUGAGGAUGACAUUUUAGCUCACAGGUGUGGUGGUGUUUUUUUUUUGUUUUUUUUUUUUAAGUGUAGCCUCUUAUCAGCAGAGGGAGCCAUAACACUAAAAAAUGUCUCCUAUCUGUUGAUGGGGAGGAAAUUGAUAGAGAGAGAUUUUGCUACCAAUACAAAGCCAUUAAAAUGAGACAAAAUGUUAAAAUAAAAACAAUACAGGAACAUGUAAUAUUUAGGAAAAAAAAUGAAAAGUGGCCCUGCUCUUGUUUGAUCUGUGGCUAUUGGCAUGGUCCAGGGUUGCAGAAAACACCAGAUUGUGAAAUAAGUAAAUAAAUAAAUAAAUGGGUAAACUAGAUGCAACUCCAUCUGGAGCUAGCAAUUCCCCUAGGUUCUGAGUCUAGUGUUGUGAUUCAGUGAGUUGACUACUGGACAAUUGAAGUCCACAAUAUAUCCACAAAAUAGGAGGGAAAAGAUUGCUAUUCAUAAUGUGAUUAAAAAUACACUUUUAUUUCACUUUCGCUUUCUAUAGUACAUCUCAAGUUUCAUCCUAAAUUCUUUAGAUAGUGCCAUCUGAAAAACUGUGAGAAAUGACCAUUACCACUACCACCAUCCCAAGAGUAAACCUCCCAAAUGAGUUCAGGUCUUCCCAAAGUACAUGGUUCAUUUCUGCAAAAAUGAAUAUGUACAGACAAUAGAUCCACUUCUGUUUGCAAGGAUACUAAUGCUUGCUUGUGGGAAUAGUCAGUGUAGUACAAGAGCAAUUCAGAAAUAAACCUCUGUUUGGUUAUCAGUGACAGACACUCGCAGAUACAUAACAUUUAUUAUACACAUUAGAAGACUACAACAUUAUAUUUUGAAAUAAUCGCCAUUCAAAUUGAGGGUCUUGUCAUAACGUCUUACAAGGUUUGAAAUUCCUUAGUAGUAGUCAAUCGGCGCCAAAUGUGGGCUAUGGGGGGGAUGAUCAAAAACAUCCCAACAGAACUGCUUCAAAAGUUCUUAGGCAUGUCUAGUGGUAUGCAGGCAAGCAUUAUUGUGAACAACAUCACACCAGAAGUGGUACCAUAGAAAAUCCCGCCAAAUGUGAAGAUGCAAAGGAGUUCUGCUAGUGAAGUUCAUGGAGUGUGGUUCGACCAUCAGUUCAGAAGUCUACUGUGAAACAUUAUGAAAACUCAGACGAGCCAUCCAU